Molecule: long non-coding RNA, 439 nt
Filed under: Homo sapiens (human)
Lineage: Eukaryota; Metazoa; Chordata; Mammalia; Primates; Hominidae
Description: non-protein coding lnc-NANS-2:1
Source: RNAcentral
UACCAGUCCAGAGCAUUUAAAAGAAACUGUGAAGAAUGAGAAGGGCCAGAGAUGGUCGAGCAGCAGGUGGGAGAUGAGGGUGGGGAUGGCCCUCCAGAUGUGGCCAAGCUACAGCCCCAGUAAAGACCUGGAGGAAGGAAAUGGGACUACAGGCAUGCACCACAUUGCCCAGCUAAUUAUUUUAUUUUCUGUAGAGACAGGGUCUCCCUAUGUUGUUCGGGGUGGUCUUGAACUCUUGGGCUCAAGAGAUCCUCCCACCUUGGCCUCCCAAAGUGUUGGGGUUAUAGGUGUGAGCCACCAUGCCCGGCCCAAGUGGUACUUUUAAUAUUUCUCAAUCGAGUUGUUUGGUUCAUCUCAGAUUUUGAUACGUGGUCAUAAGUUGUCACUUUAUUUAAAUUUUUAAAAGCCAAUAAAUCAUCUUUAAAAAAUAAUCCUUUAU